Molecule: ribosomal RNA, 639 nt
Filed under: uncultured archaeon
Lineage: Archaea
Description: bacterial SSU rRNA
Rfam family: Archaeal small subunit ribosomal RNA
Source: RNAcentral
CCCUACUGCUAUCGGGGGAGGACUAAAACAUGCAAGUCGUGCGUCUCCUAGCUAUGUUGGAGACGCGGCGUAUGGCUCAGUAACACGUGGCUAACCCACCCUUGAGACGGAGAAAUCCCCGGGAAACUGGGGUUAAUCCCCGAUAGGAGAAGACACCUGGAAUGGGUCUUUUCCCAAAAGGCGUUUAGGCCAUGCUUCUAGACGUCGCUCAAGGACGGGGCCGCGACCGAUCAGGUUGUUGGUGAGGUAAUGGCUCACCAAGCCUAUAACCGGUACGGGCCGUGAGAGCGGGAGCCCGGAGAUGGGCACUGGGACAAGGGCCCAGGCCCUACGGGGCGCAGCAGUUGCGAAAACUCCGCAAUGCACGAAAGUGUGACGGGGCUACCCCGAGUGCCGUCCGCUGAGGGCGGCUUUUCCCUGGUGUAAGGAGCCAGGGGAAUAAGGAGAGGGCAAGUCUGGUGUCAGCCGCCGCGGUAAUACCAGCUCUCCGAGUGGUAGGGAUGAUUAUUGNGCUUANAGCGUCCGUAGCUGGCCUAGCAAGUCUUCCGUUAAAUCCACCGAUUNCAUCGUUGGACUGCGGGAGAUACUGUUGGGCUAGGGGGCGGGAGAGGCCGACNGUAUUCUCGGGGUAGGGGUAAA